GACGAACGCUGGCGGCGUGCUUAACACAUGCAAGUCGAACGGAAAGGCCCUGCUUUUGUGUGGUGCUCGAGUGGCGCACGGGUGAGUAACACGUGAGUAACCUUCCCUGUACUUUGGGAUAACUUCAGGAAACUGGGGCUACUACCGACUAGGAGCUCCUGCUGCAUGGGGGGGGUUGGAACGUUUCGGCGGUUGGGGGUGGACUCGCGGGUUAUCAGCUUGUUGGGUGGGUAGUGGCUUACCCAGGCUUUGACGGGUGGCCGGCCUGGGAGGGUGACCGGCGACAUGGGGACUGCGAUACGGCCCAGAGUCCUAUGGGAGGCAGAAGGGGGGAACAUGGCACAACGGGCGGAAGCGUGAGGAAGCAACGCCGCGUGUGGGAUGACGGCCUUCGGGUUGUAAACCGCUUUAGCUUGUGACGAAGCGUGAGUGACGGUAAUGGGUAAAGAAGCACCGGCUAACUACGUG
Molecule: ribosomal RNA, 468 nt
Filed under: uncultured bacterium
Lineage: Bacteria
Description: partial 16S ribosomal RNA
Rfam family: Bacterial small subunit ribosomal RNA
Source: RNAcentral